Molecule: transfer RNA, 69 nt
Filed under: Liparis tessellatus (cubed snailfish)
Lineage: Eukaryota; Metazoa; Chordata; Actinopteri; Perciformes; Liparidae
Description: tRNA-Cys
Source: RNAcentral
AAGCCUCGGGGUGUUAUCAUGACAGAUUGCAAAUCUGGAGAGGCAGGCUAAAACCUGCCGGGGCUUUCC